UACGUAGGUGACCAGCGUUGUCCGGAUUUACUGGGCGUAAAGAGCGCGCAGGCGGUCGUUCAAGUCGAGUGUGAAAGCCCCCGGCUCAACUGGGGAGGGUCAUUCGAUACUGAUCGACUCGAAGGCAGGAGAGGGAAGCGGAAUUCCCGGUGUAGUGGUGAAAUGCGUAGAUAUCGGGAGGAACACCAGUGGCGAAGGCGGCUUUCUGGCCUGUUCUUGACGCUGAGGCGCGAAAGCCAGGGGAGCGAACGGG
RNAcentral lists this ribosomal RNA (253 nucleotides) under uncultured bacterium. Its description in RNAcentral is "partial 16S ribosomal RNA". It matches the Rfam family "Bacterial small subunit ribosomal RNA", at positions 524 to 776 of the family's 1533-position model. The record is from RNAcentral.